Molecule: unclassified non-coding RNA, 505 nt
Filed under: Athalia rosae (coleseed sawfly)
Lineage: Eukaryota; Metazoa; Arthropoda; Insecta; Hymenoptera; Athaliidae
Description: misc RNA ENSAEAG00005010160.1
Source: RNAcentral
UUAGAAAACAAUUAGGAAUACACCUGGGAUGGUUUGACUCUGAUUAAUUAACCGGAGAUGGAGGAAAAAAUCUGAAUAAUUCUGGAAAAAUGGGGAAAAGUAGGGAAAAACGAGAAAAUGAGAAAGACUCACAAAAAUUGAACUGUGUAGUAUUCUUCUGUAUUUUUUCAGCAUCAAAACAUCAUUCUGACACUCUGAAAUUGAAUUACAACCGUAAACUGAUCUUUGCAUUUCAACUUUAAUUGUCAAGGUAUCCGCCUCGGAGAUACUCAUCAUGAGAAUUGAGCAAAGUUUUCUGAGAGUCACCAAGUAUAAACACCCGACGAUUGAAUGAGACGAUUCUUCUGCUCGAUGGCUGAAUAUAUCAGGUUUUCGUUAUCAAAAAUUAUCAAAGGAAGGAUUGAGUGGAAUUCAAUAAUUAUUACUAUGUAUCAUCUUUGAUUCGAUAGAUCAGCAUCUGUUCAGAAUAUCUGAACCGUAUAUGCCACAGAUUGUACUCCCUACA